CAUAUUACAGAUUAUUAUACAAGGAAAGUUCCCAACAAGGACAAUGAUGAAGACAAGAUUGGAUUUGAUCUCCGAGACAAUGAAAAGGCGACUAUGGAAGGAAAUGGAGAAUUCACAGACGAAUUGUACACAAGGAAAGCUGUUGAAAUAAUUGAAGCUCAUGAUGAUUCAACUCCUUUGUUCCUUUAUGUGGCUUUCCAGGC
Long non-coding RNA from Eurytemora carolleeae, 203 nucleotides. RefSeq lists it as uncharacterized. The record is from RefSeq and is a predicted model, not a curated record. The transcript is spliced from 4 exons. Lineage: Eukaryota; Metazoa; Arthropoda; Copepoda; Calanoida; Temoridae.